RNAcentral lists this ribosomal RNA (364 nucleotides) under uncultured eukaryote. RNAcentral describes it as "partial 18S ribosomal RNA". It matches the Rfam family "Eukaryotic small subunit ribosomal RNA", at positions 592 to 976 of the family's 1831-position model. The record is from RNAcentral.
CAAAAGCGUAUAUUAAAGUUGUUGCAGUUAAAAAGCUCGUAGUUGAACCUUGGGCUUGGCUGGCCGGUCCAUCUUUUUUGAUGCGUACUGGACCCAGCCGAGCCUUUCCUUCUGGCUAGCCUUUUGGCGAACCAGGACUUUUACUUUGAAAAAAUUAGAGUGUUCAAAGCAGGCCUUUGCUCGAAUAUAUUAGCAUGGAAUAAUAGAAUAGGACGUUAUGGUUCUAUUUUGUUGGUUUCUAGGACCAUCGUAAUGAUUAAUAGGGACGGUCGGGGGUAUCAGUAUUCAGUUGUCAGAGGUGAGAUUCUUGGAUUUACUGAAGACUAACUACUGCGAAAGCAUUUACCAAGGACGUUUUCAUUAA